Molecule: ribosomal RNA, 384 nt
Filed under: Calcidiscus leptoporus
Lineage: Eukaryota; Haptophyta; Coccolithales; Calcidiscaceae
Description: partial Bacterial small subunit ribosomal RNA
Rfam family: Bacterial small subunit ribosomal RNA
Source: RNAcentral
GUUUGAUCCUGGCUCAGAUUGAACGCUGGCGGCAGGCCUAACACAUGCAAGUCGAACGGUAACAGGAUAGCUUGCUAUCGCUGACGAGUGGCGGACGGGUGAGUAAUACUUAGGGAUCUGCCCUUUGGAGGGGGAUAACCAUUGGAAACGAUGGCUAAUACCGCAUAAUGUCUACGGACCAAAGGGGGCUUCGGCUUCCACCAGAGGAUGAACCUAAGCGAGAUUAGCUUGUUGGUGAGGUAACGGCUCACCAAGGCGACGAUCUCUAGCUGUUCUGAGAGGAAGAUCAGCCACACUGGAACUGAGACACGGUCCAGACUCCUACGGGAGGCAGCAGUGGGGAAUAUUGCACAAUGGGGGAAACCCUGAUGCAGCCAUGCCGCG